Molecule: unclassified non-coding RNA, 240 nt
Filed under: soil metagenome
Description: partial contains 5.8S ribosomal RNA, internal transcribed spacer 2, and large subunit ribosomal RNA
Source: RNAcentral
AACGCACGAGACCUGCGGACCUGCGGAGGGAUCAUUAUAGGAAAAUAAUAAUAUAAUAAGUUGUGGGGGGACAAAGUGUGAGGGGGGAGUGCAUACUCUGCACUUCUUUUUUUCGCUGUUUCCUUGCUUCUUCAAACAAACUAUCGCAACUAUUAUUAUAACAGAGAGGGGGGAUUGUGAUGACUUGGUUUUUUUCCCAGUCAAACAACAAAAGCUAAUAUCUGAAUUGCUGUAUGUGUG